Cyprinus carpio carpio is the source of this 1265-nucleotide long non-coding RNA. NCBI's taxonomy places the organism in Eukaryota, Metazoa, Chordata, Actinopteri, Cypriniformes, Cyprinidae. The record is from Ensembl.
UUCUUUUUGGACUGAACUUGUUUGUGCAAAACACUGAGGCUUCAUUGUCUAGCAUUCAUCUAAUUUGUUUAUAGACGUGUUUUAAGACAGCAGUGUACACAUAUGUUAGCAGACCGUCUGUCUUAUACUGUCUCUGAUGAACCACACACGAUCGGAAAAUGUCUUUCGGAUCAGCCAAACAAAAUCUGAUGUCAAAUGGACUCAAGUCUGCAUCAAAAUCUCCUUGUCACUUUGGAUAAAAGCAUCUGCUAAACGACAACUUCCUGUACUCUACGAAAGAUGAAAGGUGCUCACAGUCUUUCAGUGGCCUUGGUUUAAAAAAAAUGAGAGGGGGAUGAUGGGAUUUAAUGGUCCACACCAGAGAACAAAGCUCGGCUUCAUACAAAGGUGGAAGUCUCUGGCUGUGUGCCAGUCCACAGUCAAUGCCCAAAAACACGUACAUGAACGCUGCCUGUUUUGGAUGGCUUUUAGAAAUGAAAAAAAUAAUAAUAACAAAAUAAAAUACCACAGUAUGCUUAAUUGGGGAUGUUGAAAACUCACUUCUUGUACUGGGCAGUUUUUGAUCUUUAGAUUCUGCCUGCCAUUCCUCGCAACUCUGAAUGAAAGUUUUUAAUCCCAUGGAGAUUUUCCUGCAUGUUAGUAGGUCCUUUCAUAAAGCGUGCAGGCCUUCCCCUCCCUCGCCAAGCCCAUAGAAACAGGACUCUCUCUGUGCCUUAGAGGGCCUGCUGGAGUUUUGAGGGCCGUUUCUCCACUGUAAGCCUUUGAGGAGGCUGGCCUUUGAAGUCCUGGAGUCCACCAAUAGCUGCACUUUGAGUGCCUGACAUUAAUUGUUCCCAGAGAAACACAGAAGGACCUACAGCAUGAAGAUGAGUGGACCAAAGCACCCACCGACUGUACACCUGUGACCCUCCAUCACCCCGAACAUUGUAAGGGUACUUUUGACAGGUUACUUGUGCCUGUUUUCUUAAAGGUUCUGGAGAUUUUGAGUCUGAGCAGGCUUAGGCUGCCAAAGAAGACCAUGUACAAUCACAAUUUGAACUUACUUUUUAACUUAAAUUUAACUUAAUCUUUUUUUCUUUUUUUUCACUUUUGUGAAUCAGAGUGCAUGUAAUUCAGAGUAUUUAUUUUUGAGACUUGGAGAAACAGUGAAUAAUUUUUUGAAGCGAUUAAAAAAAAUUAUCUCAUCACUAUUUUUUUUAUUAUUUUUUUUAAAUCCUAUCGAUUUAACACACUUAAUGACAAUAAUGGUUUGACUUAAUUUUUAC